Molecule: long non-coding RNA, 1063 nt
Organism: Lathyrus oleraceus (garden pea)
Lineage: Eukaryota; Viridiplantae; Streptophyta; Magnoliopsida; Fabales; Fabaceae
Exons: 3
Source: RefSeq, a predicted model, not a curated record
AUGGACUUAAGGCAAACUCACUUCCUUCCAUGCUCAACUAUCGUGUUCCUAAGUAUCGACCUGAACUGGUGACUCCGCCACGUCGGGAAUUUCCUCCUGCGGAGGCGGAGGUCCAAACAUACAUCAAUAGUAUCACCUCAACGUCCUCUACCACAAAUCAACUUCCAAUUUUUCUGAUUUUUAAUCAAACAUUCAAACUGAGCUGAAAGAGGCCGAAUAAAGGCAGUGAAGAACUUCAAGAUUCCGGCUAUGAAUUUCUCUGAUGAAGAUUGAAGGCUCAGUUUGAAGAGUGAAGUUUUUGAAGAAUCCCCCCAGGUUGAAGAUAGGUUGCUUUGCUUUGAAACUAAGUGGAAAUGCGCCCUUGGAACUGCAGUUGACCUUCUACUGCCGGUUAGGCUUCUUCAUUUAUGUUACUUAUGUCCUCAGAACCUGGACUUGAACCACCAAAGGUAGAUUUAAUAUCUAAAUCACCACAUCCGUGGGGUUGAGUAGACGUCUCAAACCAGUUGAUGGAAGAUACACCAUCACUGAUCAUUUUGCAUUGACGGCAUAAUUUUCCAGGUUUAUCAUCAAAUUGAUGCAACAAUCGAAUUGUGAUAUGUGGUCUCCAUAAUAAAGGUUCCUCGUGCAGGAGAUGUAUGUCCAAGAUGUCCUGGCGAACCAACUGAAAUCUGACUAUGAACUUGGUGGAGCAAAUUGAGAUAUUGACAAUUUUUUGUAACAUGAUUGAGUAGAUUAGGUAGACAUGUAUUGGAAUAGUUAGGAUGAACAUGGUUGAACUGAGUUUCUGUUUUGCAGAUUUUUUGAAGUUUGCCAAAGACUUGGUGACCGGUUUUGUGCUUAGACCUAUGAUGAAUGACAAGUAAUCGUGGAAUUGGACUCAUGGAAUACAUGGGAGCUGUUUGGUUUUGGACCUUGUUAUUGUAAUGUAUUUGAAAUAUUGUAGUGUCAUGUAGAAUAUACAUAUUAGGACUUUGUAAUGUAACUUUGAAAUUAAAAAUGAAAAUGGAUGUGUAAUGAUUCUUUUUGGAAACAAUGGUUAUAAUUAGAAAGUUGACAAACA